CCAAAUACUGGUAUUCAUGGUCAGGCAAAUGCCUGGGUAAACACCCAAGCAUUUGCCUGACCAUGAAUACCAGUAUUUGG
Molecule: non-coding RNA, 80 nt
Organism: Podarcis lilfordi (Lilford's wall lizard)
Lineage: Eukaryota; Metazoa; Chordata; Lepidosauria; Squamata; Lacertidae
Source: the annotation of a GenBank genome assembly